Eucalyptus grandis is the source of this 6319-nucleotide RNA transcript. It is a transcript of the gene named putative disease resistance protein RGA4, with no coding region annotated. Lineage: Eukaryota; Viridiplantae; Streptophyta; Magnoliopsida; Myrtales; Myrtaceae. The transcript has 3 exons. The record is from RefSeq and is a predicted model, not a curated record.
ACUCUCCAAAACAUACUAAACAAAUAAGAAUAACCUAGGAUCGUGCCAUCUGUCUCAGGCAAAUAACCUAGGAUCGUGCCAUCUGUCUCAAGUAAUUCUUGCAUGGAGCAAUGCUCGUGUGAAAUAACCUAUAAUAAAUCCCUAAUAAAGGCAUUUGUUAGUAAAUUUAGGUUAUAGUACAAGGAAAGAACAUAUUUAUUAAAUAUGAAACAAACCCUACAUGAAAGUUCAUUGACGUAUGCGAAAAGAAUGUUCAUGAAUAGAUAAAAUGCAUAAAAAAGAAUGACGGAGAAAGAUACUAGAAGUAUCAAAAGUUGUGUAUGGCACUCAUUUAGAGCUAUUCGAAUCACUUAAGUGUCACUCAAGUGUCAACUCUUAUUUGGGUCACCAGAAAUCAGAUCCGACGUGGCCAUAUUUUAUUAAUUUCUUAGUCUUUCAUGGCUCGCCGGCGUGCCCGGUUAGCAUAUAACCCCUAAUCGACCUCAUAUAGAGAAGUUGACGGUGAUUAUUUGAGUGCCAAAAAUCGUAAAUAUGGAUCCUUUGAGUGCUAAUUAUUGUUGCCACUUGUUAGAAAAAUAAUCACUUUAGUGUCGGUCAUUGUAAUAAAGUGAUAACUUAAGUGCCAAUCUCAAUUAAAAAGUAAUCAUUGUGCAAUGUCAUUUUUUUUUCCAUGGACUGUAUCUUUUUUUUAAAAAAAAUGUGUCAAGUCAUAUUAAAAUUUUAAUCAUAAAUGCCACGUAAUUAAUUUGGCCAGAAUUUCUCGUUGGAUGUACUUAAGUGAUCGUUUUUUUCUUCGAUUUGUCACUUAAGUAAGCCGGCAAAAACUUUUGACAUUAAAUUGAGCAUCAUACAUGAUUUUUGACACUUCUAACGUUCUUCUCCCAAAGAAUGAUUAAGAUUAUACUAUUAUUGGUGGGACGAUAAGAGCGUUGCAAUUUAACAAAAGUAGAUGUGCGACAUGCACAACACAUUUUUAUGAGGAAGACUAGUCAUACUUCGUAUAGAAAAAAACAACUAUUAUCAUAUAAUAAUAUAACAAUCGUUGCAUUUUUCUUAUUUGUGUAAAGAAUAUAAGAGUCGUUACGGCGUCUCAAAAUUCAAAUAAAGUAAAGCAUUAAUACUAUGAAAAAACCAAAAUUGGUACACCUUAGACAAAUAUAUUCCAAACUAAUUUUUGGGUCACCGAAAACCUCAACUAUUAUACCUGUGACGUAUGUACCCUCAUUUAGCUUCUAUUGAAUUUUACUGUGAAACUGUUGAGCUGAAUGACACAUGACAAUAACUCAAUUGACAUUAGUAAGUCCAUGUGAAAAAACAUAUUAGUUUCGGAUAAAGUUAUUACAGGUGUACCAUGCCAUUGACCUUAACUUUCAUAGUUUCAGUGAAGCCUUAAUUUUGGUAAAUUUAUUAUAGACAUUUGGAGAUUUUUGAUGAUUCAAAAAUUAGUUUAGAAUAGCACUGGUGUACCAAUUGGAGUUUUUUGUAGUAUUAAACAUAUCGUGAAUAAGAAAAGCUUGUCUAUUAGUCAUUAAUAGAAAACGCAAUAAUUUAGAGUAAAAGAUAGAGGCAAGCUGAUAAUAUGAUCAAAUAGGAAAUUCAGCGAAGAUUUGAUCGUGUAUAUUGAAUAGAGAUAAAUUAGAAGAAGAAUAUGUUGGGGGAUAGAAAUAAGAGCUAGACUUGAGGACGAGAGAUGACUUGUCUUUUAGUAGCUGUUAAAGAAAAGCUCCAAAUUUCUUUUUCUUUUUUUUCUUUUUUUUAAACGAUUCCAAACUAAUCGAUAUGAUUACAGUAGAAAACUAAAAUAGUAAAAGAUUGUGUACAGAUAUGGGAUUUCACUUUACAUAAAUGUUCUAGCUUUGGAAUUGUCUAGUAUGGGAAGAGCCUUAAGGAAUUUUUUAAAUUUAUUUGGAUAAUAGGAAAACAUAAAGUAGGAAAAAAAAUGUAGAAGCGUUGACCAUGGGAAGCAAAUAUCUUUUGAGAGGUUAGCAAGGAGAGUGAACUUCCUUAAUCAAACUGUAACAUUUUAGUAAAAUAAUAGCAAUAAUAUCACAUGACGAUAUGAAGGAGAGUUUUGAAUUGAGAGGUGCAGUGUUGGCAUCAGAAUGUUAACAAAUCCAUUAUGUUACUUACGCAUAUAGAGCUUUCUGUAUUCCCAAAAAGAAUCCGCAUCCUAAUGUGUAUUGCAUAUGUACCUAUAUAUUACCAUAUGUAUUAGUCACCAACUUUGUCAUCCAUUAAAUCCAUCCCAAGAAUAUAAAAAAUGAUUGGUCAUCUUUUGACAAGAAAGUAAAAAAUGAAGCCUUUGAAAAAGCGAGAGUGCUCUUUCGGGCGUCGGAUGCGACCUGAGUGUGUCCGCAUUACCAACUUUGUCAUCCAUUUAAUCCAUCCCAAUAAUAUAAAAAAUGAUUGGUCAUCUUUUGACAAGAAAGUAAAAAAUGAAGCCUUUGAAAAAACAAAAGUGUUUUUGCAGGCAUCAGAUGCGACCUGAGUGUGUCCACAUUUUUGGUUGAGGCUUGCGAGAAUGAUCAGAAUUCCUAUCUAUAUCAGCUCAAGUCGGUCAUAGAAGUCGAUAAUUAAAUUUGUCAGGCUUUUGAUUUGCCAGUCUCAGGUGAGCAUCAGCAUUAACUUGUUUAUUAUACAUGUUGUGAGAAGUCUCUAUCCUUGGACCGACUGGACUAAUAUCUUCUUCAGUUAACAGAGAGAGAACAAAAAUGGCAGACGCUUUCAUCGUCGGUAUCGCUGGAAAAAUUGUUGCUAAUCUAGUUUCUCAAGCGCUAGAAAAUGUUGGAAAGUUAUGGGGCGUCAAGCAUGAACUCGAGGUGCUCAGGGAUACUGUCUCCACAAUUCAGGCUGUACUGGAACAUGCAGAAGAGCAAUACUAUCAAAGUCACCAAAUCCAAGUUUGGCUUGAGAAACUAAAAGACGCUUUCUAUGACGCGCAAGACGUGCUUGAAGAAUUCAAAAUAGAAGCUUUGCGACGAGAUCUGAGAGGCCACAAUGAAAUAAGUAAGGGGGUAAGGACAUUUUUCUCAAGUUCAAACCAACUUGCUUUUAAACUGAGGAUGAGUUACAAAGUAAGAACAGUGAGGGAGAAAAUAGAAGCCAUUAAGGAUGAUAGGAAAUUUCACUUGGAUGAGCGCCCUGUGGAUUUGCCAGUAAAGAGAAAAUUGAGGAAGAGAGAGGAGACACAUUCAUUUAUACGUGAGGGAGAUAUUACGGGCAGAGAUGAUGACAAGAAGAACGUUAUGAAAUUUUUACUGGAUUCAGACAUGAAAGAGCAUGUUUCCAUCCUUCCAAUAGUUGGAAUUGGUGGGCUUGGAAAAACAGCUCUUGCUCAAUGUGUGUAUAAUGAUGAGAUGGUCAGUAAACAAUUUAAUUUGAAAAUGUGGGUUUGUGUCUCUAAUGACUUUGAUAUGAAACGAGUAGUGAAAAAUAUCAUAACUUGUGCAAAGAAGAAAAAACCAACAGAGGAUGCAAUGGAACGAUUGCAAAGUGAGCUGAGGGCAGCAAUUGAUGGGAAGAGAUAUCUCUUAGUUUUAGAUGACUUGUGGAAUGCAGAACGAGAAACGUGGUUGAGCUUGAAAAAUUUAUUGAUGGGAGGUGCUAGAGGAAGCAAGAUCCUUGUAACUACACGCCUUCCUUUAGUUGCGGAGAUCACCCACACUGUUCCACCUCAUGUUCUUAAGGGCUUAUCUGAGAGUGCAUCUAUUGAUUUAUUAAUGAAAAUGGCUUUUCGAAAAGAAGAGGAGAUACAAGAUCCUGACAUGCUAACAAUCGGCAAAGAGAUGGUUAGAAAGUGCUCUGGGGUUCCAUUAGUCGUUCGAGCUGUUGGGAGUUUAUUAUUCUUUAAGAAAACUAAACCCGAAUGGUUACAUUUCAAAGAUCAUGAGCUCCCAGAUGUGUCUCAAAGCGAAGACAACAUAAAAUCAGUGCUUAGGCUAAGUUAUGACCGUCUCCCUUCACAUUUAAAACAAUGUUUCACAUUGUGCUCAUUGUUUCCCAAAGAUUAUGAGAUAAAGAAGCAGACUUUGGUCAAUCUUUGGGUGGCAGAAGGUUUUAUCCAGCCAUCAAAUAAAACUCCACAUCUAGAAGACAUUGCUCAUGGAUAUUUCAUGGAGCUACUUAGGAGUAACUUCUUCCAAGAUUUUCAAAAACAUCCUUUCACGAGGGAGGAGACCUGCAAAAUGCAUGAUUUGAUGCAUGAUCUAGCCUGCUUAGUUGCAAGGACCGAGUAUGGGGUGGCACAGGAUGACACAAAAACCAUAUAUGAGAGUACUCGUCAUUUAUCAUAUGGUUCAAUUUUCAAUUUGAUGGGUGGACUUCCAAUCUCAUGCUUAAAAGCAAGGGCAGUGAGAACAAUUCUUUCUACUUGUUGGGGAGUGGGACAGCAAGAACCAACAAGUGAAGCAGAUCUACGCCAACUUAUUCAAAAUUUCAAGAGCUUGCGCAUCUUGGAUCUACAUGCCACAAAUGUCAAAAAGAUGCCGAGGUCCAUUUGUAAGUUGAAGUAUCUCACAUAUCUCGACCUCUCUUAUAAUGAUGCACUCAAAAGGCUUCCUAACUCUAUCACGAGAUUACAGAAUUUGCAAACACUUAAUCUCUCAGGUUGUAUUUCCCUUGAAGAAUUGCCAAGGGGUGUAAAGAAGUUAGUUAGCCUUCGAAAUCUAGACUUGGAUUUUUGUCAUAAACUUAGUUUUGUGCCUUGUGGACUAGGGCAAUUGAGUUCUCUACAUAGGCUAACACGCUUCAUUUUGCCCGAGAAAAAAUCUCUUACUAAGAAUUAUUGCAGACUUAGGGAGCUAAAUGAGAUUAAUAAUAUCCGAGGUAGCCUUUGCAUUGAAAACUUGGGAAGCGUGACAGAUGCAGCAGCAGAAUCCAAGGCUGCGAACUUGAUAGCAAAACAUUCUCUAGAAUCUUUGGCAUUUAAAUGGGGCAAUUUCGAUACUAAUGAUGCAAUAAUUGUGGAUAGAGAUGAGGCGCUAUUAGAUGGACUGAGGCCACACCCAAAUCUUCAAGAGUUGACAAUCAAUGGAUAUAAAGGUGAGAGCCUUCCAAAUUGGAUGAUGGAUAAUCUCGUCUCUUCCUUGCCAAAUUUAGUUAUGGUAUGCUUUUAUAAAUGUGGAAGAUGUAAACAUCUCCCUCCACUGGGCCAACUACCUCACCUUAAGACUUUAGAGAUUCGAGAGCUAACUGAAUUGGAAUACAUAGAGUCAGACCAUUCAUCCACUUUAAUAGCAUCAUUUCCCAGUCUAUUGAAGUUGGUGGUCUUUUAUUGUGGGAACUUGAAAGCCAUGCCACGAACUCCACAUCUUGAGGAGUUAAUGCUGAUUAAGGCCAACCAAGCAUUGAUAAAUCAUUUAUUUGGCCUUAAUAAGUUGAAGAGUUUAGAUAUCUCGGAUAUGGAAUAUUUGCCUAAGGAGGGUUUGAAAAGUCUCACCUCACUUGAAUAUCUUAGCAUAUGGGAAUGUCCUUGGUUAACUUCUCUCUCACUUGGUAUGCGACAUCUAUCGAGUCUCGUGGAUCUCUCGAUUCGGUUUUGUGUGGAGCUUGACUUAUCCAAAGAUGAAAGCGGCAACAUCUUGGAUUUCCAAGGACUUCAAAGUCUCCACUCCAUAAAUAUCACUCUCCUUCCCAAAUUAGCGUCACUCCCACUGUGGCUUUGGCAGGUUAGCAAUCUCGAGUGUCUCAGAAUAUGUGAUUGCUCAAAUUUGAAGGCUAUACCAGAGCAGAUUGAGGCUCUUCAAUCACUUCAACGGUUUGAAAUCAUCGAUUGCCCCUCACUGAUGUCAUUCCCUGAAGGAAUGCGAAGGCUUACAUCCCUUACUCACCUAAGAAUCGUAGGUUGCCCAGAAUUGGAGAAUAGGUGCAAAAAAGAUGCAGGCAAUGACUGGUACAAGAUCUCUCAUGUCCUGCACUUAACCAUCGAGCCUUAAUCAUCUUUUUGAAGGAAUUUACAGCGUGUGGGAACAUGGCUUCAUUCCCAAACGUGCAUGAAAAUUGAAGAAAAUUCAUACUCCUCAUCAUCCAACUCCGAGGCGAUCCUUAGACCUGUUGAGCACCCAUCUGAGCUUCCAAAGUGGAAUUACUAUGGAUCAAGUACUGGUCAAGCUGCAAGGGAGGAUAGAGAAGUGAUAUUAUUUGUUAGCAUUUGCCAGCAACAUUUUGUAAAUUGUUUUGUAUUAUAGUAGAGUUUUUAAAGUCUCUCUGUGAACAGUUUGAAGGAAAAUGUAAUGGCGGGGAGAGAGAGAGAAGGGAAAUGCACAUUCUUCAUUUGCUGUUCACCCACUCUGCAAAGGUUCUCAAGUAAAUUCUUUUCCAA